GCAUCAUUUGGUAAAGGCUGGGCUGAGAGGAUAUCCUUGUUCCAUGGACCCAGUAGAUAGGCAGCUUCCUGAUUCCAGGAACAACUUGUCUGUUUUUCAGUCUAUCG
This 107-nucleotide microRNA precursor is filed under the name Mus caroli (Ryukyu mouse). RNAcentral's name for it is "microRNA 1971 (MGP_CAROLIEiJ_G0007390.1)". Lineage: Eukaryota; Metazoa; Chordata; Mammalia; Rodentia; Muridae. The record is from RNAcentral.